GAUGAACGCUGGCGGCGUGCCUAAUACAUGCAAGUCGAGCGAACAGACGAGGAGCUUGCUCCUCUGACGUUAGCGGCGGACGGGUGAGUAACACGUGGAUAACCUACCUAUCAGACUGGGAUAACUUCGGGAAACCGGAGCUAAUACCGGAUAAUAUAUUGAACCGCAUGGUUCAAUAGUGAAAGACGGUUUUGCUGUCACUAAUAGAUGGAUGCGCGCCGCAUUAGCUAGUUGGUAAGGUAACGGCUUACCAAGGCAACGAUGCGUAGCCGACCUGAGAGGGUGAUCGGCCACACUGGAACUGAGACACGGUCCAGACUCCUACGGGAGGCAGCAGUAGGGAAUCUUCCGCAAUGGGCGAAAGCCUGACGGAGCAACGCCGCGUGAGUGAUGAAGGUCUUCGGAUCGUAAAACUCUGUUAUUAGGGAAGAACAAAUGUGUAAGUAACUAUGCACGUCUUGACGGUACCUAAUCAGAAAGCCACGGCUAACUACGU
Molecule: ribosomal RNA, 496 nt
Filed under: uncultured bacterium
Lineage: Bacteria
Description: partial 16S ribosomal RNA
Rfam family: Bacterial small subunit ribosomal RNA
Source: RNAcentral